RNAcentral lists this long non-coding RNA (869 nucleotides) under Sorghum bicolor (sorghum). Its description in RNAcentral is "long non-coding RNA (SBIC_LNC011387)". The record is from RNAcentral. Lineage: Eukaryota; Viridiplantae; Streptophyta; Magnoliopsida; Poales; Poaceae.
UAAGUCUUACUUUAAUUAGACCACAUGCAUAAAAGUUAUAGAAUAGCAUAUCUUGUUUAUUUCUUACUCACCUUCAUUAAACCUAUAUGAAAUGUACAACCAAUGCAAGUAGUGUGAUGCAAUGAAAACCCAGACAACUUGCUAAUAAGGACGGACACAUUUUAUUGAUCAACAUAGUUCAUUUGAUGCUCAAUCAACCAAUGUGGCCAAUGCUUUCAAGUGUAAGGUUAGCACCUUAAGUGUGGGAGCAGCCGUCCAGACAUCAAACACUGGUGGCACCCAAAAAAACGCCCCUCUCUGGUGAGCCCAAGAAAUAGUGGCAAAGCACCAACCAGUGGUAAACUGGUAACAAUGCGGCCCUACAGGGGUAGUGACAGUGGUCAUUGGCCCCCAUAGAUGCAGCCCUAUAGGGGUGAAACUGGAGUUCGUGGCUUUCUCUCUAUCAGUUUGCUGAGAGCUCAGUACCAUGGGGCAGUCUUCCUCACCUGCAAAAUUUUCAUUAAUCAAUGGUUAUGGUUCUGUUAGUAAUGGAACAAAGUUAAUGCCAUUGACACGUGUAGUCUAAACCUUGCUCUUUUUUUCUUUUCUUUUUUUUUUUGGCUUGCCAGGAUGGCCGCAUUGACUAUGGAGAGUUUGUUGCCAUGAUGACCAAGGGCAACAUGGGAGUGGGUCGAAGAACAAUGAGAAACAGCCUGAAUAUCAGCAUGAGGGACGCACCUGGUGCUUUCUGAGACUUAACACGAUGUACAGCUUGUGGCUUAGCUACUUCCUCUGUCUUGCUGCCCUACGAAACCGUCUGCGAUUUUUCAAGAUGUUGUCAAGUGUCUGUGUGGAUGUGUUUUUCUGGGGAUUCUGAUUGAACUCUUGUG